UGACAGUUUGUAAGAAGGUGAGUAGGACAAUCCUAGGAGUAGAAUAACAUAUAUAGUUCAGGGAAGUAAACACAAACAAGGGAAAGGGGAAUGGGGAUAAGUAGUUCACAUGUAAGAGCAUAGACAUCAGAGAAAAAUUUAAACAGCCAUAGCACAUUUCAUCCCAAAAAGGUUAAGGAUUACAUGCUGAUAACGUAUUGGGGUUAAGGGGUAAGGAAGAACUGAAUUAAACAAAUAAAGGAAGCAGUAGACAUGCUGAAUUAAGGGAAAGAUAAUCACAUCACCGAACUAGCACAAAGGCAUGCUAAUUGCAAUGAGAACAACAUAACCAAAAGUAGAAGCAUAAAAGAAACAAGAGGAAGUGCAAUAUACAUAAAAACAUGUUAUUUUGGAAACUAUAAAUCAAAUAGAAGACAUGCCAGUCAAGAGUGAGAUAAUAUAGAACAGUAGUGUGCAGGGAAGUAGAGCAGGAGUGUGUAGGCCAAGAGAGCAAUGUAUAUAGCAAUAAACCAGUAGAGUAACAAGUUAC
RNAcentral lists this long non-coding RNA (529 nucleotides) under Nicotiana benthamiana. Its description in RNAcentral is "long non-coding RNA (NBEN_LNC005923)". Lineage: Eukaryota; Viridiplantae; Streptophyta; Magnoliopsida; Solanales; Solanaceae. The record is from RNAcentral.